AUUGAACGCUGGCGGCAGGCCUAACACAUGCAAGUCGAACGGUAACAGGAAACAGCUUGCUGUUUCGCUGACGAGUGGCGGACGGGUGAGUAAUGUCUGGGAAACUGCCUGAUGGAGGGGGAUAACUACUGGAAACGGUAGCUAAUACCGCAUAACGUCGCAAGACCAAAGAGGGGGACCCUCGGGCCUCUUGCCAUCGGAUGUGCCCAGAUGGGAUUAGCUUGUUGGUGGGGUAACGGCUCACCAAGGCGACGAUCCCUAGCUGGUCUGAGAGGAUGACCAGCCACGCUGGAACUGAGACACGGUCCAGACUCCUACGGGAGGCAGCAGUGGGGAAUAUUGCACAAUGGGCGCAAGCCUGAUGCAGCCAUGCCGCGUGUAUGAAGAAGGCCUUCGGGUUGUAAAGUACUUUCAGCGGGGAGGAAGGGAGUAAAGUUAAUACCUUUGCUCAUUGACGUUACCCGCAGAAGAAGCACCGGCUAACUCCGUG
This 490-nucleotide ribosomal RNA is filed under the name uncultured bacterium. RNAcentral's name for it is "partial 16S ribosomal RNA". It matches the Rfam family "Bacterial small subunit ribosomal RNA", at positions 30 to 507 of the family's 1533-position model. The record is from RNAcentral.